CCGCCCGAGGACCCCUAAACUCUGUUUUUAGUGGAACUUCUGAGUAAAACAAACAAAUAAAUCAAAACUUUCAACAACGGAUCUCUUGGUUCUGGCAUCGAUGAAGAACGCAGCAAAAUGCGAUAAGUAAUGUGAAUUGCAGAAUUCAGUGAAUCAUCGAAUCUUUGAACGCACAUUGCGCCCGCCAGUAUUCUGGCGGGCAUGCCUGUUCGAGCGUCAUUUCAACCCUCAAGCUCAGCUUGGUGUUGGGACUCGCGGUAACCCGCGUUCCCCAAAUCGAUUGGCGGUCACGUCGAGCUUCCAUAGCGUAGUAAUCAUACACCUCGUUACUGGUAAUCGUCGCGGCCACGCCGUAAAACCCCAACUUCUGAAUGUUGACCUCGGAUCAGGUAGGAAUACCCGCUGAACUUAAGCAUAUCAAUAAGCGGAGGA
RNAcentral lists this ribosomal RNA (432 nucleotides) under uncultured fungus. Its description in RNAcentral is "eukaryotic LSU rRNA". The stretch from base 66 to 219 matches the Rfam family "5.8S ribosomal RNA". Lineage: Eukaryota; Fungi. The record is from RNAcentral.